RNAcentral lists this ribosomal RNA (560 nucleotides) under Aureobasidium sp. YM24619. RNAcentral describes it as "eukaryotic LSU rRNA". It matches the Rfam family "Eukaryotic large subunit ribosomal RNA", at positions 77 to 654 of the family's 3401-position model. The record is from RNAcentral. Lineage: Eukaryota; Fungi; Ascomycota; Dothideomycetes; Dothideales; Saccotheciaceae.
GCUCGUACGGCGAGUGAGCGGCAACAGCUCAAAUUUUGAAAGCUAGCCUUCGGGUUCGCAUUGUAAUUCUGUAGAGGAUGCUUUGGGUAAAACGCCAGUCUAAGUUCCUUGGAACAGGACGUCAUAGAGGGUGAGAAUCCCGUAUGUGACUGGAAAUGUUAACCUAUGUAAAGCUCCUUCGACGAGUCGAGUUGUUUGGGAAUGCAGCUCUAAAUGGGAGGUAAAUUUCUUCUAAAGCUAAAUAUUGGCGAGAGACCGAUAGCGCACAAGUAGAGUGAUCGAAAGAUGAAAAGCACUUUGGAAAGAGAGUUAAAAAGCACGUGAAAUUGUUGAAAGGGAAGCGCUUGCAAUCAGACUUGUUUAAACUGUUCGGCCGGUCUUCUGACCGGUUUACUCAGUUUGGACAGGCCAGCAUCAGUUUCGGCGGCCGGAUAAAGGCUCUGGGAAUGUGGCCUCCACUUCGGUGGAGGUGUUAUAGCCCAGUGUGUAAUACGGCCAGCCGGGACUGAGGUCCGCGCUUCGGCUAGGAUGCUGGCGUAAUGGUUGUAAGCGACCCGUCU